CGGCGAAGAGCUGGGAUAGAGCUCGCCUUGGCUCUGCUGGCCUCGGCUGCAGCCUCCCCGAAGACGUCAGCUCCCGCAUGAGAGUGCCUCACCUGGAUCUCUCUUCAGGGAUGACAUCAUCGAUUCACCACAGUCUUCAAGGACCGCCUGCUCUGGAUGCCAAGCUGCUGCCCAGGUGCUGACUGCGGUACCUGCUGCUGUCUCCACCUCCUGGUCUAAGAAGCUUGGAUGCCUGGAACCCACCAGCAUACAGAUCCCCAAGAUCCCUAGGACCAGGACAGCGAGGGAUAGGAUGAAGAGGAUCAGCACUGACCAAUUCUUCUCCCUCUGGACACAGGCCUUGAACCAAUGCCCUAGUGAGGGGGCAUUGGUCAUGACCCCUGACCUUUGCUCUGCUUGUGUCUUGACUUUGAGCCCUUCUGUUUGUCUCUGCUUGUGUCAUCUGCCAGCGAACUGGAGUGCCUCCCUCCCCAAGGGGGUUCAGUCCCUUGUGACUGACCACGUUGUUGUCCUUACAGUGUCCUGAAUGGAAGGAUCCCUUUGGGAGCCUCUCAGGAGGGGGACCUGGGCCAAGGGCCACCAGCAUUGUGCUGGCAACUGUGGGGGUGGGGGUGGGGUGCUUCUGGAAUGAGCAUGUGGCUGACCCCUGAAGGCAUGCCCACCCCCUUGGAUAUGUCCCUUCCUUUUUAGGGGAAUGGGGACAUUAGGAGCAACCUCCUAGGGUUGUUGUGAGAAUUAAGUGACAUACAGAAGCCUGAGGCAGGGCUGGGCAGAGGCCAUCGGCAAAUGUUUGUUGAAAAGGUUUGUAGGUGAAUCCAUUCCCACCCACUGGUUGUCUUAACUUGUCUUAAUUAUUCUCCAACAGACUCCUGCAGCCCCUGGUACAUGGGGCUCACCUUGCACCAGGUAGGGGCUUCCAAAGACAGCCGGCCGUCGGGCAGACUUUGACCCGGCUUCUCGAGGCCUGUCCACACUCGCUGCUUUCCUUCCUCACCUCCAAUCUCCCCUCCAACCCACUGCUUCCUGACUCGCUCUUCUCCAUCGAACGGCUCUCGCUCAGCCACCAGGUUCAAACCCCGUUGCCCUGCCCACUCAGUGUUGCCUCAGUUUUCAAGUGAUACACGUGGGACAGGCCCCUGCUGAUGCCGUCACUUCCUGUGGGCCUGGCUUCCAGGGUCUGAGUGACCAGGGGCUAUAACCAGGUUUAUGGCUUGGCCUGCUGUGCUGGCCCCAGAGAUCCCUAAUCAUCAUUCCCUGGCCGGUUGCAUCCUUCUUCUGCCUUUUCCUGUUGUGGUCAUGUGCCAAGAGCUCCUCCUCUCCACGGAAGACCAGCUGGAGUCACCCACCGGCCAUACUGGCUGAAGAACAGCAGGUGGAAGUGACCGAUGACCCUGAGGACCCCGAGGACCCUAAGGACCUCAAGGACCCCAAGGACCCCAUGAGGCCCAGCGCCUGGACCCAGACCUUCAGGACCUGCAUUGUGCCUCCUUCACAGAUUAGGCCAAAGUCAUCACCUGGAAUCCUGUGUGCGAAGGAACCCCCGGACACAUGGACAUGGACACACACUCCCAGUACCCUCCAACUGUAAAUCGGCUGACUAGGAUGGAAGUGCCCUUGUGAGUUGGGGCCUUCAAAGGGAUGAGGAGAAAACGCAGGCUGAGGGACCAGCUUCUCAAAUCGGCUUCGAGCCCCCCAUGACCUGAGCUCACCCGCUGGAAAUGUCUGGAAAAACAUAAUGGGCAGGUUUUCUGUCUUCAAAGUUUCCGGCUAAACCUCUUCAAGUUCUUUAUUGUCUGGGACUGAGACACUCAGGGAUGGUAAUGGGAGUUUCUUUUGUAUUUGUCUUGAAAGGCCAAAAUAUUUUUAUAUUGCUGUAGACAAAGCCACCUAUUUACAAAUGAACUCCGUGUCCGGCGUUUCCCACCAGGAAGACUGUACCAUGUGUGUGUCUCUAUGUAUUCUGGGGUCUUGAAACAGGUUUCUCAUGGGGAUGGCCAUUCACCGGGGCUCAGAGGGGCAGAGGGGGAAGUGUCCACUCUGCCAAGGGGGCCUGGGGAAGGGGGGCCCUAGUCUCAGAUCUGGCCCCUGUAUGUCUGGGGUGAGCCCUGGGAGAAUCUGGUGGUAAAAGAACAUUUGCUGUGUUUGCCCCCACAUCUGCCAUUUGUGUGUGUUUCUGGGCUGUGGGUUUGCAUACUUUGGUGGUUAAGUUGGUGAGAGGAAGUAGAAAGGGCCAAGAGGGCACGGGUGCUCUGGUUUUCUUGUUGGGAGGCUGUUUCACUGGUGUCUGUUACAUCACAUAGUAAAUGUUUAGAUGGAUGAGUGAAAGAAGUGGGAAGGACUAAAGAAACAAAAAGAAUAGGAACAGAAGUAAGCAAGGUCAGGUGGGGGAGAGCACACCAACCAGUCAGUCCCUUUGACACCCAGAUGAUCAAUACGUAAAUCAAUAAAAUGUCGAGUUGAUACGUAGGACCACACACACAAGUUUAUUGACAGAAGGAAACCUAAAUAAAAAAAUGACAGGAGGAGUGGGAAGAUUUAAAGCAAUGCUGAGAUUUUGAGGUCAGAGGGAGGAAAUGACCAGAGAGAAGGAAGAAGGAAGGGACACUGAACAGAGGAAGUGAGAUCUUUAAGAGGGAUAGACCAAAGAGGGGUCCAAAGAAAACAGGAGGAGGACCCCAGGGGCUGAGACAAGAGCGUAGUCUAAGCCAACAGUUACCAAGUCUGGGUUCCCAGAGUCUCUCCAUGUGAAAGUUGGCAGAGAAAAGUAGGGUGGAUGGAUGAACAAGUAGACAUGAACAGACCUAGUUCCAGAUGAGAAAGGUGCUUUAGGUAUCUGGUCCGGGGACCUGAGACCUGCAGAGGGAAGGAACGUGAAAGAGAAGAAAAUACAGAAGGGGCUGUGGAAACGGCAGUAAAGCACUUGCUGUUCAGGCAUGAGGACUUGUUUAACCUCCCAGAAUUCAUGUACCGUUACAGUGGUACAUGCCUAUAAUCUCAGCACUGGGAGGCAGAGACAGGAGGAUCCUGGGGGCUCAGCGGCUAGUGAGUUCAGCCAAAUUAGUGAGUUCUAGGUUCAGAAAAUAAGGUGGGGAGUGAUUGAGGAACAUUCCCAAAGUCCAUGCACACACACACACACACCACACACACAACCCAGAGAUAAGAAAGGACUCAGCACAUGGUAAGUUUGAAAGUAUAAAUGAAAAUCUUGCUGCUCAACACUGCUGCUCUGUCAGUAAAACAGUGUCACAUGAGCAAGCCAUAAAGCACCCCAAGAAGCAAACGAAGGGCAGGUGAAGGGAAGGCCUGCAAGAGGGUGCUGGUGGCAUUCGUAGCUCAUCCCCUGGGUACUUUAGGUCCAUGAGAAGGCAAGCCAGGAGGUGUGGGAAGCUGUAACAAGAUAGAAAGGCAGUCACAAAAGAAAAGGGAAAAAGUAAAAAUCUACCAAGUGGGCAAAUGAAUAGCUACCCAGGAGGGCUAGGCUAGGACUAAAAUCUGAGCACCUAAUUCCACCAGCAGAGGGUUAAACACCAAAAAGAAAAGAAGGGUGGAAGGUGACAUGAGUGAAAGUGUGUGAGAGAAAGAGAUAUAGCCCUGUGGGUCGAGGAGGGAUGUUUGUAGGUGACUUUCUGAUCCAUCAGCCUAUGACAGCUGGGAAAGAGAGUCAAUGGAAAAGGAAAAGAAAUGUAAAAUGUUGGCUUGAAGAGAAGAAAGGUGAUAAUGUGUUCACAAAGGGCUAGAUGAAUCCAGAUAGAAGGCGGAAGCCUGCUAAGGACAGGACGAAAGGCCGUGUCAGCAGACUGGUCCAUUCCUAUCUGUGCUUCUGAGACGGACAAUGACCCACCCAACCAAGAGACCUUUCAGGCAUCAAUAUGUCAGGGAGGGUUUCAGUGGGGCCAGGGAGGGGAGGCCCAUUAACAGCAGAUUAUGAUGUAUCCAAUUAGGUGCACCUGCCCUCUAGAA
Long non-coding RNA from Nannospalax galili (Upper Galilee mountains blind mole rat), 3960 nucleotides. RefSeq lists it as uncharacterized. NCBI's taxonomy places the organism in Eukaryota, Metazoa, Chordata, Mammalia, Rodentia, Spalacidae. The transcript is spliced from 9 exons. The record is from RefSeq and is a predicted model, not a curated record.